GAUGAACGCUGGCGGCGUGCUUAACACAUGCAAGUCGAACGGGAAACCUUUUAUUGAAGCUUCGGCAGAUUUAGCUGGUUUCUAGUGGCGGACGGGUGAGUAACGCGUGGGUAACCUGCCUUAUACAGGGGGAUAACAACCAGAAAUGGUUGCUAAUACCGCAUAAGCGCACAGGGCCGCAUGGCCCGGUGUGAAAAACUCCGGUGGUAUAAGAUGGACCCGCGUUGGAUUAGCUAGUUGGCAGGGUAACGGCCUACCAAGGCGACGAUCCAUAGCCGGCCUGAGAGGGUGAACGGCCACAUUGGGACUGAGACACGGCCCAGACUCCUACGGGAGGCAGCAGUGGGGAAUAUUGCACAAUGGGGGAAACCCUGGAUGCAGCGACGCCGCGUGAAGGAAGAAGUAUCUCGGUAUGUAAACUUCUAUCAGCAGGGAAGAUAGUGACGGUACCUGACUAAGAAGCCCCGGCUAACUACGUG
RNAcentral lists this ribosomal RNA (479 nucleotides) under uncultured bacterium. RNAcentral describes it as "bacterial SSU rRNA". It matches the Rfam family "Bacterial small subunit ribosomal RNA", at positions 28 to 507 of the family's 1533-position model. The record is from RNAcentral.